This 132-nucleotide ribosomal RNA is filed under the name Shewanella algae. RNAcentral describes it as "partial 16S ribosomal RNA". It matches the Rfam family "Bacterial small subunit ribosomal RNA", at positions 1 to 119 of the family's 1533-position model. The record is from RNAcentral. Lineage: Bacteria; Pseudomonadati; Pseudomonadota; Gammaproteobacteria; Alteromonadales; Shewanellaceae.
ACUUUAAUUGAAGAGUUUGAUCAUGGCUCAGAUUGAACGCUGGCGGCAGGCCUAACACAUGCAAGUCGAGCGGUAACAUUUCAAAAGCUUGCUUUUGAAGAUGACGAGCGGCGGACGGGUGAGUAAUGCCUG